AUUGAACGCUCUUGGCAGGCCUAACACAUGCAAGUCGAGCGGUAGCACGGGAGAGCUUGCUCUCUGGGUGACGAGCGGCGGACGGGUGAGUAAUGUCUGGGAAACUGCCUGAUGGAGGGGGAUAACUACUGGAAACGGUAGCUAAUACCGCAUGAUGUCGCAAGACCAAAGUGGGGGACCUUCGGGCCUCACGCCAUCGGAUGUGCCCAGAUGGGAUUAGCUAGUAGGUGGGGUAAUGGCUCACCUAGGCGACGAUCCCUAGCUGGUCUGAGAGGAUGACCAGCCACACUGGAACUGAGACACGGUCCAGACUCCUACGGGAGGCAGCAGUGGGGAAUAUUGCACAAUGGGCGCAAGCCUGAUGCAGCCAUGCCGCGUGUGUGAAGAAGGCCUUAGGGUUGUAAAGCACUUUCAGCAAGGAGGAAGGCGUUGUAGUUAAUAGCUGCAACGAUUGACGUUACUCGCAGAAGAAGCACCGGCUAACUCCGUGCCAGCAGCCGCGGUAAAACGGAGGGUGCAAGCGUUAAUCGGAAUUACUGGGCGAAAAGCGCACGCAGGCGGGUUUGUUAAGUCAGAUGUGAAAUCCCCGAGCUUAACUUGGGAACUGCAUUUGAAACUGGCAAGCUAGAGUCUUGUAGAGGGGGGUAGAAUUCCAGGUGUAGCGGUGAAAUGCGUAGAGAUCUGGAGGAAUACCGGUGGCGAAGGCGGCCCCCUGGACAAAGACUGACGCUCAGGCGCGAAAGCGUGGGGAGCAAACAGGAUUAGAUACCCUGGUAGUCCACGCUGUAAACGAUGUCGACUUGGAGGUUGUGCCCUUGAGGCGUGGCUUCCGGAGCUAACGCGUUAAGUCGACCGCCUGGGGAGUACGGCCGCAAGGUUAAAACUCAAAUGAAUUGACGGGGGCCCGCACAAGCGGUGGAGCAUGUGGUUUAAUUCGAUGCAACGCGAAGAACCUUACCUACUCUUGACAUCCAGAGAAUUUGCUAGAGAUAGCUUAGUGCCUUCGGGAACUCUGAGACAGGUGCUGCAUGGCUGUCGUCAGCUCGUGUUGUGAAAUGUUGGGUUAAGUCCCGCAACGAGCGCAACCCUUAUCCUUUGUUGCCAGCACGUAAUGGUAGGAACUCAAAGGAGACUGCCGGUGAUAAACCGGAGGAAGGUGGGGAUGACGUCAAGUCAUCAUGGCCCUUACGAGUAGGGCUACACACGUGCUACAAUGGCGUAUACAAAGAGAAGCGAACUCGCGAGAGCAAGCGGACCUCAUAAAGUACGUCGUAGUCCGGAUUGGAGUCUGCAACUCGACUCCAUGAAGUCGGAAUCGCUAGUAAUCGUAGAUCAGAAUGCUACGGUGAAUACGCUCCCGGGCCU
Molecule: ribosomal RNA, 1365 nt
Filed under: uncultured bacterium
Lineage: Bacteria
Description: bacterial SSU rRNA
Rfam family: Bacterial small subunit ribosomal RNA
Source: RNAcentral